CCAACAUUAUUAACAAGUGUGUCGUCCAGGAACGGACACGUUGUCCGAUUGAAGACAAGAUCACAACAAGAAAAGGUUGAAACAGAAGUCAACCAAUAUGUCUGAAGUCAAAAAACAAAUAUUUGUCGGUUUGGCAAACUCAAACAACUCUCCCUAGCUUGUCGGAUCUCUCUCCUUUUUUGGUCUUUUCCAUUUUAGGAAAACAUCUAUACAACAACACAACGUUUCAUUAGACUUUUCAAUUUUCUUUCUCUUUGGGUUCCCAUAAGCAAAAUCUUCCGGCAUCUGUUCUCCGCUAAACACGGAGCAAUAAGGCGGAAGAACCAUUUGUCUUCGGCCGGAAAGAUUUUACCCUUUUUGGUUCUCCGGCCAGAGAUAUGGGAGCCGGUGGAAAAACGUUCAACGCUCACGUGCUCUCGGCCACGUAUCAUCACAAGCACGUGCGUCCUAUGGCCUGCGAGGAGGACUCUGAUCUCCGGAGAGGCAUCGGAGAGCUUCUUUCGCGGUGGGGCGGGCUUCAGAUGGCCGUGAAGAAUAAGUGGGGAGGCCAUGAUUCUCUCGAGAAAUCUCAAGAGCUUGCGCACGAUCUUUUUCAUCUCUUGUCUCAAACAAAUGUGAUAACGGUGGAUGAGAUAGAGAGUUUUCUACAUGAGAGCUUGCUUCUUUCUUUCAACACAGAGAUGGAAGAUGGCAGCAUUGAAGAGGUAGCUGAACAAUUGAUGAUACUUCAUGAAGAGAUCUGUUUGCGUGGGAGUCAUCAUUAAGCCAAAGAUAUCUACAGUUUGAAUGGAUUAAUUAGUUUGGGUGGACUAUUUGAUCGUCCUUUUUGUAUAAUGUAAACCGAUAUGACGCACCAUCUGGUUCCCAUCGCAUCCGCAAGAGUUUUCCAAUGGUUCCCGUGUUUCUUUUGAUGCUCUUUGACGAGUUCCAAAUCCUCUUUACUCCUAUUGUUGCUUGCUUGUGAUAUCCAAGUCAGUCGUUUGAUUGUUUUGUUGUCAAGGCAUGUAAGACUAUAGUUGAGUUUACUCAUGUAAUUACUGAAUCAUCAAAGGAGGCAUUAUACACAUGGUUGACUAUUUUUGGAGUCAGAUUAGACUCACUAGAUACAUGAACUGAAAUAUGAAAAGAGACAGAGACAAUCGAUAACUUCUAUCAAUUGCGCUCAUGGUCAUAACUUCUAUCAAUAUUGCCAUCUUCCAUCUCU
RNA transcript from Brassica napus (rape), 1204 nucleotides. It is a transcript of the gene named pre-rRNA-processing protein TSR2 homolog, with no coding region annotated. NCBI's taxonomy places the organism in Eukaryota, Viridiplantae, Streptophyta, Magnoliopsida, Brassicales, Brassicaceae. The record is from RefSeq and is a predicted model, not a curated record. The transcript has 4 exons.